RNAcentral lists this ribosomal RNA (475 nucleotides) under uncultured bacterium. RNAcentral describes it as "bacterial SSU rRNA". It matches the Rfam family "Bacterial small subunit ribosomal RNA", at positions 28 to 507 of the family's 1533-position model. The record is from RNAcentral.
GACGAACGCUGGCGGUGUGCUUAAUGCAUGCAAGUCGAACGAGAUCUCCGCUGGGUAACCAGAGGGAACGAUCUAGUGGCGAACGGGUGAGUAUCACGUGAGGAACCUGCCCUGGAGACCGGAAUAGCCCGGGGAAACCCGGAUUAAUACCGGAUACCCUCAAUGCACCGCAUGGUGUGAUGAGGAAAUGGUCAGCCGCUCCAGGAGGGCCUCGCGUCCUAUCAGCUUGUUGGUGAGGUAACGGCUCACCAAGGCAUCGACGGGUAGCUGGUCUGAGAGGAUGAUCAGCCACACUGGGACUGAGACACGGCCCAGACUCCUACAGGAGGCAGCAGCAGGGAAUAUUGCGCAAUGGGCGAAAGCCUGACGCAGCGACACCGCGUGAGGGAUGAAGGCCUUCGGGUUGUAAACCUCUUUCAGUGGGGAAGAAGCGAAAGUGACGGUACCCACAGAAGAAGCCCCGGCCAACUACGUG